Long non-coding RNA from Macaca mulatta (Rhesus monkey), 2067 nucleotides. RefSeq lists it as uncharacterized. The record is from RefSeq and is a predicted model, not a curated record. NCBI's taxonomy places the organism in Eukaryota, Metazoa, Chordata, Mammalia, Primates, Cercopithecidae.
CUCCAGGAUGUCAGCGGUGGGGAUCUCCAUGGAUUCUGUUCCUCCGUAGUACAGAUACUGCAUCAUCAUCUGUGGUGGGAAGAGGCCCGGGUGAAUGCCACGUGGACCUGAGGCAUGAAAGUCCUUGCCGGCCCCACAGGGUACUGCUCCAGCUGCCACCUCCAGGGGCCUGUCCCUCUGCAGAGCCCCAGCUCUGUCUCUCCCUCCCUCUCCUGCUCAGGCUGCGACUUGUGUUUUCCCGGGAACGCCACCUCUAGAAGCCACCUCCAAGACACUCUCUCCUGAGUCCCUGCCUGGAUGACAAGCUCCCUCCGCGGAAUGUUUCCCUACAAUCAUAAGAACACCGUGAGCCCAGGAGGGAAGUUCCUAUCCGCAGUUGGGGAAACUGAGGCCCAGGGAAGGAAGAUGACUUGGCUCAAGUCCCUCAGCUCCCCGAUGCCUGCAGCAGGACUCGCGGCAUGCCUGGCCCCACGUGACUCAUUGCUGGUGUGAUCUAGAUUCUACACAGGGAGUAGCAGUGGGGGGGUCUCUGAAGGGAUGUUGGAGGACGCUGUCUCCUGCCUUCCCCUGUCUGUACAAGGACUCCAAUGUAGAGGUGAGAGUCCACCCGGACUCUGUCUCAGGUGUGCUCCCUCAAAAAGAAAGCGCAGAGCCCAGGCCCAUAGGCCCGGAGCUCCCCUCGACAGGUUGAGCCCCGCCUUGGGCUCCCAGAUGAGGUGGUCCAGGACUAGGAACUAUUUAGUUCUGCUGAGGUUUCAGUUACAAACGCAGCCAUCACGCUGGAGCCUAGUGAGGUUCCCAGUUGGAAAAAGAAAAACAAUUCUUUCUGGCUGGCUGAAGAAACGGCCCCAGCAAGGAGCUGGCAAGUGUGUAAGUAAACACGGCUCCAGCCGGCAUAGUCGGGCUCUGUCAAGACCGGCCGUGAGGCUGCAGAGGCACCAGAGGGUCUAGGAGAAGGCCCAACUGCAGGGAGAGAAGUCGGGAGAUGGGCCUGCCAGCCUCGUUCAGGCAUCAGGAGACGUUGGCCAAGGCCCACCCUGGAGAUGUCAGCCUCUCCCCACCUCUAGAGGUCUGGGAAGCUCCCACAGCCUUCUGCAGCCCCUGCUGGAGCCUGGAUGGCGAGCUUAUGAUUGCAUAGUAAGCUGCCCAGACCACCUGUCUAGCGGUGAGAGCUCAGUACCCAUGCAACAGGCUCUGAAGCUGCAGCCCCACAAUGGGAUGGCUGCCUCUGCACAGGGAAAGACCUGGAUGCUCUACUGAUUCAACAAAAUACAGAAGGCACUGGGAAUAGAGUGGACAAUGUCAGCCUACGCACAGCUGCCCACAAAGGUGAGCUCCUGGGGGAGGGUCAUCCCUCCGAGAAGAGGGCGGCACCAAGACCCACACACCUGAAAAAUAUGGUACUUCAUGUCGCUGAUCUCAAUGGUCUUGCUGCUGUCCCCAUCCUGUUCUGAUUUAUUGGUCAUUAGUGUCUUGAACCUGGAGUAAAGGAGACAAAGCAAGGCGGAUUUUGAACCUUUUACUCCACCACUGUGUGGCGAUGGCACCAUUUGCCACCUGACUGGCUACCAUGAGACGGAGCAUUUUAAAAAUUACUGCUGUGCUCCUAAAAUAAUUUUCAGCAAGUGCCAUUUUACACAAUCUUAGGAAGACAUCUGGGCUGAGCCCGAUUCUGUUCUCACCACCCACCAUACAAGCGACCUGACUCCUGUGGCCAGAAUGCUGACUCUUCAUUCCAGAAUAUGUUUGCUAAUAAUCAAAGCAAUAACUCGGCCAGAAAGAACACCACCUCAGAGACCCCCUUCCCUGCUGCCCCGGGUCCACCCUGCCUUGCCCCGCUGUGGGGCGAGUGGGGCUCUGCUGCCACGUGACCGCAGUCUGAGGGGCACAGGCUGUAGGGUACAGCCCCAGCGAGUCACUCUCUGUCACCUCGAAUCUGAAACAAGGUGCUUCUGUGCCAUGGGCUGGGAGUUUGUUAUCUGAGGCUGCCUACCUGUUAGAAGCUGUCACCAGCAGGACUUUAUGUGCAUAAAACAGCUUUCCUUCCACUAGGAAGGUCACAUCCGA